UACGAAGGGGGCUAGCGUUGCUCGGAAUCACUGGGCGUAAAGCGCACGUAGGCGGCUUCUUAAGUCAGGGGUGAAAUCCUGGAGCUCAACUCCAGAACUGCCUUUGAUACUGAGAAGCUUGAGUCCGGGAGAGGUGAGUGGAACUGCGAGUGUAGAGGUGAAAUUCGUAGAUAUUCGCAAGAACACCGGUGGCGAAGGCGGCCCACUGGUCCGGUACUGACGCUGAGGUGCGAAAGCGUGGGGAGCAAACAGG
RNAcentral lists this ribosomal RNA (253 nucleotides) under uncultured bacterium. RNAcentral's name for it is "partial 16S ribosomal RNA". It matches the Rfam family "Bacterial small subunit ribosomal RNA", at positions 524 to 776 of the family's 1533-position model. The record is from RNAcentral.